ACGCUCGACACCUACGGGAAGCAGCAGUGGGGAAUAUUGCACAAUGGGGGAAACCCUGAUGCAGCGACGCCGCGUGAGUGAAGAAGUAUUUCGGUAUGUAAAGCUCUAUCAGCAGGGAAGAAAAUGACGGUACCUGAGUAAGAAGCCCCGGCUAACUACGUGUCAGCAGCCGCGGUAAUCUGAGCGGGCUGGCAAGGC
RNAcentral lists this ribosomal RNA (198 nucleotides) under uncultured bacterium. Its description in RNAcentral is "partial 16S ribosomal RNA". It matches the Rfam family "Bacterial small subunit ribosomal RNA", at positions 326 to 539 of the family's 1533-position model. The record is from RNAcentral.